This 2139-nucleotide ribosomal RNA is filed under the name Triticum aestivum (bread wheat). RNAcentral's name for it is "partial small subunit ribosomal RNA". The record is from RNAcentral. Lineage: Eukaryota; Viridiplantae; Streptophyta; Magnoliopsida; Poales; Poaceae.
AUGGCGCCGCUCCCCGCGCCCACCGCCGCCUCCGCCUUCCUCUUCCACGCCCCGCCGCGCGGCCACCACCACCACCACAAGCCUAAGCCCUCCUCCAGACCCACCACCACCCUCUGCUCCGCCGUGCCCUCCUCCACGCCGUCCCUCGCCGACCAGCUGGAGCCGCUCUCGCGCACGCUGCUCACCGACAAGCCCACCCCCGCCGCCGACCGCGCGCAGCGCCCCACCCCGGAGCCCACCUGGGUCAACCCCUCCAGGCCGCGCCCCACGGUGCUCUCCCUCCGCCGCCAGCGCCGCCGCCCGGCCGCCUCCCACCCCUCCUCGGCCCCGCUCCAGCCGCUGCUCCGCGACCUGCGCGCGCUCCCGGAGGACGCCGACCUGGCGCCCACCCUCAGCGCCUUCUUCCCGCUCCCGGGCUCCCCGCCCACCUCCUCCGACGCGCUGCUCCUCCUCAACUACCUCCACCCGUCCUGGCGCAAGACGCUCUCCCUCUUCGCCUACCUCCGGGGCCUCCCCGCCGACGCCGGCUUCACCGUCGACACCAUCCUCUUCAACGUCGCCCUCAAGUCGCUCCGCGCCGCGCGCCGCUGGGACGAGGCGGAGCGGCUGGCGCUCGACAUGGUCGACUCCGGCGUCCCGCUCGACAACAUCACCUACUCCACCCUCAUCACCGCCGCCCGCCGCUGCCGCCAGUUCGCCAAGGCCGUCGAGUGGUUCGAGCGCAUGUACUCCCCGCCCAGCGGCGUGCUCCCCGACGAGGUCACCUACUCCGCCGUCCUCGACGUCUACGCGCAGCUCCGCAUGAAGGAGGAGGUGCUGGCGCUCUUCGACCGCGCCCGCGGCAGCGGCUGGAAGCCCGACCACGUCGCCUUCGCCGUGCUCGCCAAGAUGUUCGGCGAGGCCGGCGACUAUGACGGCAUCCAGUUCGUCUUCAAGGAGAUGCGGGAGGUGGGCAUCAAGCCCAACAUCUUCGUCUACAACGCGCUGCUCGAGGCGCUCGGCAAGACCGGCAAGCCGGGCCUUGCCCGCAACCUGUUCGAGGAAAUGGCCGCCGAGGGCGUCGAGCCCAACGCGCGCACGCUCACCGCGGUGGCCAAGAUCUACGGCCGGGCGCGCUGGGGCCGCGACGCGCUCCAGCUCUGGGACCAGAUGCGCGACAAGAAGAUCCCCGCCGACAGCAUCCUCUGCAACACGCUGCUCAGCAUGUGCGCCGACGUGGGGCUGGUGGCCGAGGCCGAGCAGCUCUUCGAGGAGAUGAAGGACCCGGACCUCACCGACGUCCCCCAGCCGGACAAGUGGAGCUACACGGCCAUGAUCAACAUCUACGGGAGCAUCAAGGACGCCGACCGCGCGCUCCAGCUGUUUGUGGAAAUGCUCCAGAGCGGCAUAGAGGCCAACAUCAUGAGCUACACCAUCGUGAUCCAGUGCCUCGGCAAGGCGAACAGGAUACGGGACGCCGUGGAGGUGCUCGAGGCGGGGCUGGAGAGGGGCCUCAAGCCCGAUGACCGGCUAUGCGGGUGCCUGCUCUCCGUCGUCGCGCUAAGCAGCGGCGAGGAGACGGAGCUGGUGCUCGGAUGCCUCGAAAAGUUCAACGGAAACCUAGUCAAGCUGAUCAGGAUGCUCGGGGACGACCAGGUGGGCGCCGACGAGCUCAAGGAGCAGCUGAAGGCCGUGCUGAAUGCCGCGGAGACCGAGGUGCGCCGGCCCUACUGCAACUGCCUGAUCGACAUAUGCCAGAACCAUGGCCUCCCCGCCCGGAGGCCGAGGGAGCUCUUCCGGCUCGCCCAGGGCUACGGCCUCUACUCCAAGCUCCACAUCAGGAAGGAUGACGAGUGGCUGCUAGACCUGCGGUCGCUCUCGGUUGGCGCUGCUAAGACGGCGUUCGACGACUGGAUGGUGGCCCUCUCGGAGCGCGCUGCGCAGGGCCAGACCCUGCCACAGUCCUUCAACGUGUUCACCGGUUCCAGCACCCACAAGUUCGCGCAGGGGCUGGCCAGCGCCUUCGCCGCCCACCUCAAGGAGGCCGCGGCGCCGUUCCGCCCGAGCGAGUCCCAGGUCGGCAGCUUCGUCAGCUCCAGGGACGAGCUAGUCCCGUGGCUGCAGACGAGCAGCCCGUCGUCUCCGGUCGUCGCGGGAUGA